UGGAAACUAAAAUGAGCCAAGGGCGUAGUGACGCUCCUAGCACGUGACCAAGGAGACUAUGCUCCGAGAUUCCCAUAUAUGCCCUUCGUUCUUUCACAUAAACGUGUCUGUCUUUCGGCUUCAAUCUGAUUCAGGGACAAUCCAUUCACUACUUCCAUGAAGAUCUAGGGUUUCUUCCACUUCGUCAGCUUCAAAUCUGAACCUUUCCGCCUCGAAUUUCUGAUUUUCGAUGUUCUUGAUUCAAUGCGUUGAGCAAUGGCGUUGUGGUUCAUCUAGGUUGCUUUGGGUGAUCGAUGCUUGUCUGUUGUCCUUUUUUGUGAUCUAGGAUUAUUCUGAUUUUGUUCUGUGGAUGAGAGAUUCAAUUUGGCUACGAUGAAUAUGGAGAUAGUUAGCGAUGUGCUGUCUUUGGACGCCGAAUUGUUGCAGCUGCCGGAGGUGUCGCCUUUUGCUCUCAAGUCGAACCCUAGGUUCUCCGAGGAGCUUUUUGACCAGUGGCUUUCGCUUCCUGAGACUAACCGUCUGGUAUUUUCUUCACACAAUGUUUUUUUUCCAAGAAUGAAUGUUGAUUGGCAUUUGUCGUCUU
Molecule: long non-coding RNA, 583 nt
Organism: Vitis riparia (riverbank grape)
Lineage: Eukaryota; Viridiplantae; Streptophyta; Magnoliopsida; Vitales; Vitaceae
Exons: 2
Source: RefSeq, a predicted model, not a curated record